Long non-coding RNA from Girardinichthys multiradiatus, 538 nucleotides. RefSeq lists it as uncharacterized. The record is from RefSeq and is a predicted model, not a curated record. The transcript has 4 exons. Lineage: Eukaryota; Metazoa; Chordata; Actinopteri; Cyprinodontiformes; Goodeidae.
CAGAAUAAUCAUUUUCUUGUUGACUCUGCGACCUGCUGACAUCUCGUUUCUGCAGAUCCAAUUUGUUGCUUGUUCACGAGCUGAAACAGCCGCUCAUAGGAGAUCCUGUUCAGCUCAGGAUGUGUAAACGUCUGACAGUAAACCCCCUGAGGAGAACAUGAGAUGGGAGCUAAUUUUCCUCAUCUUCAUCUGUGGUCUCUGUGAGAUGUGUGUCAUGAACAGCUCAAAGGUCUACACAGCCAAAGAAAACGAGAACAUCGCCAUCGAAUGGAGCACUCAGAUGAAAACUGACUGGACUCUCAUCGACAUAAUCUGUGAAUUUUACUCUGACAAUGUUAAGAUUUUAUACAAAACAAAGAGGGGUUCCUCUGAGUCUCCAGAUGAGCAGUUUGUAGGACGGGUUCAUUUGGACAUAGACGCUCCCAGAGAAGCAAAGAUCCGACUCCAUCUGUCCAGACUCAAAACAGAAGACUCUGGGUAUUACUGCUGCUUCAUGAAUGCUAAUUAUGACAUCGUCGCUGAGCGGUGGAGACUUCAA